AAUGAGAUUAUUCUAUCAAUAUUAAUAAAAUAUUAGUGUUUCCGAUAACCUUUUGUUCGAUAAUUUUGUGCUUUUUGUAAGACUUGUGAUUGCGUAGUAAAUCGCGAAAACAAUAACUCCACUCAUAAUAAUAUUAUUGUAUUAUCAAAACCGAAAACGGACGUUACUCGAUACUCGCAUUAUGCCACAAUACUCGAUUUUCGAUAACUAUU
Cinara cedri is the source of this 212-nucleotide non-coding RNA. The record is from the annotation of a GenBank genome assembly. Lineage: Eukaryota; Metazoa; Arthropoda; Insecta; Hemiptera; Aphididae.